AUCCAGUUACUAGGAAGGAAGAAGACAACGGGAAAAGGAUUCUGUUUUAACAUUCCUGCUAUUUUUCUGCUCAUAGAGAAAAUAGAGGUCACACUUCAAGGUUCAGCAUAUCCAGUUACUAGGAAGGAAAAAGACAAUGGGAAAAGGAUUCUGUUUUGACAUUCCUGCUAUUUUUCUGCUUAUAGAGAAAAUAGAGGUGCACUUUGACAAGGAUCAAUUUGAACCUCGACCAAAGGAUUGAAAGUUUAGGCUGACUGCUGUCCCAACCAUCUUCCCUCACUGCAAAGUAUCCAAACUAAACUGAUAAAGAAGUUGCCCCGAUGCAGAUUGCACAUGCCCAUCAUGACAUGCAUAACGGAAGAAGGUAGCAAAGCAACAUCAGCCUAUAGCAUUCCUACUAUGUAGAGCACUACAAUGCUCUUCCACUGGAAGUUGUAAAUUAAAGGCACUAUGGACAUUAUUGGUAACUACUCAAAUAGUUGCUAUCAUAAAAACUUACUUACUUGGUAACGAGCAAUGCAGAGCCGUUGAUAACGUAAAACAUUGUGAGAAUCAGCUCCCUGUAAUGUAACAUUUCUCGCUUUAAUAAUAAAAGACUUCAGGUCUGAUGAAGCUUUUUAUUUGGCAUCUGAAACCACAC
Molecule: long non-coding RNA, 640 nt
Organism: Asterias rubens (European starfish)
Lineage: Eukaryota; Metazoa; Echinodermata; Asteroidea; Forcipulatida; Asteriidae
Exons: 3
Source: RefSeq, a predicted model, not a curated record